Molecule: ribosomal RNA, 354 nt
Filed under: uncultured bacterium
Lineage: Bacteria
Description: partial 16S ribosomal RNA
Rfam family: Bacterial small subunit ribosomal RNA
Source: RNAcentral
CCUACGGGCGGCAGCAGUGGGGGAUAUUGGACAAUGGGGGGAACCCUGAUCCAGCGACGCCGCGUGAGUGAAGAAGUAUUUCGGUAUGUAAAGCUCUGUCAGCAGGGAAGAAAGCAAUGACGGUACCUGACCAAGAAGCCCCGGCUAACUACGUGCCAGCAGCCGCGGUAAUACGUAGGGGGCAAGCGUUAUCCGGAAUUACUGGGUGUAAAGGGAGCGUAGACGGCUGUGCAAGUCUGGAGGGAAAGGCGGGGGCCCAACCCCCGGACUGCGCUGGAAACUGUAUGGCUGGAGUGCAGGAGAGGGAAGGGGAAGUGGUGGGGUAGCGGGGAAAUGCGUAGAUAUGAGGGGGAA